Non-coding RNA from Pan troglodytes (chimpanzee), 148 nucleotides. It matches the Rfam family "Metazoan signal recognition particle RNA". From Rfam's summary of the family: The signal recognition particle (SRP) is a universally conserved ribonucleoprotein. Lineage: Eukaryota; Metazoa; Chordata; Mammalia; Primates; Hominidae. The record is from Rfam.
GCCGGGCGUGGUGGCGGCCGCCUGUAAUCCCAGCUACUUGGGAGGCUGAGGCGGGAGAAUCGCUUGAGCCCGGGAGGUGGAGGUUGCAGUGAGCCGAGAUCGCACCACUUCACUCCAGCCUGGGCGACAGAGAGAGAUUCCGUCUCAA